RNAcentral lists this ribosomal RNA (545 nucleotides) under uncultured bacterium. RNAcentral describes it as "partial 16S ribosomal RNA". It matches the Rfam family "Bacterial small subunit ribosomal RNA", at positions 355 to 888 of the family's 1533-position model. The record is from RNAcentral.
UAGGGAAUCUUCCACAAUGGACGCAAGUCUGAUGGAGCAACGCCGCGUGAGUGAAGAAGGUCUUCGGAUCGUAAAGCUCUGUUGUUGGUGAAGAAGGAUAGAGGCAGUAACUGGUCUUUAUUUGACGGUAAUCAACCAGAAAGUCACGGCUAACUACGUGCCAGCAGCCGCGGUAAUACGUAGGUGGCAAGCGUUGUCCGGAUUUAUUGGGCGUAAAGCGAGCGCAGGCGGAAUGAUAAGUCUGAUGUGAAAGCCCACGGCUCAACCGUGGAACUGCAUCAGAAAACUGUCAUUCUUGAGUGCAGAAGAGGAGAGUGGAACUCCAUGUGUAGCGGUGGAAUGCGUAGAUAUAUGGAAGAACACCAGUGGCGAAGGCGGCUCUCUGGUCUGCAACUGACGCUGAGGCUCGAAAAGCAUGGGUAGCGAACAGGAUUAGAUACCCUGGUAGUCCAUGCCGUAAACGAUGAGCGCUAGGUGUUGGGGACUUUCCGGUCCUCAGUGCCGCAGCAAACGCAUUAAAGCGCUCCGCCUGGGGAGUACGACCG